UAAAACAGGCACAGGCUCACA
This 21-nucleotide unclassified non-coding RNA is filed under the name Mus musculus (house mouse). Its description in RNAcentral is "oocyte_clustered_small_RNA4939". The record is from RNAcentral. Lineage: Eukaryota; Metazoa; Chordata; Mammalia; Rodentia; Muridae.